Molecule: unclassified non-coding RNA, 499 nt
Filed under: uncultured Glomus
Lineage: Eukaryota; Fungi; Glomeromycota; Glomeromycetes; Glomerales; Glomeraceae
Description: SSU rRNA
Rfam family: Eukaryotic small subunit ribosomal RNA
Source: RNAcentral
CCAAUAGCGUAUAUUAAAGUUGUUGCAGUUAAAAAGCUCGUAGUUGAAUUUCGGGAUCAAAGAAUCGGUCAUGCCUUGGUAUGUACUGGUUUUAUUGGUUCUCACCUUCUAAAGAACCAUGAUGUCAUUCAUUUGAUGUUAUGGGGAAUUAGGACUGUUACCUUGAAAAAAUUAGAGUGUUUAAAGCAAGCUUACGCUUGAAUACAUUAGCAUGGAAUAAUGAAAUAGGACAUCAGAUUCUAUUUUGUUGGUUUCUAGGAUCGAUGUAAUGAUUAAUAGGGAUAGUUGGGGGCAUUAGUAUUCAAUUGUCAGAGGUGAAAUUCUUGGAUUUAUUGAAGACUAACUACUGCGAAAGCAUUUGCCAAGGAUGUUUUCAUUAAUCAAGAACGAAAGUUAGGGGAUCGAAGACGAUCAGAUACCGUCGUAGUCUUAACCAUAAACUAUGCCAACUAGGAAUCAGACGAUGUUAAUUUUUUAAUGACUCGUUUGGCACCUUACG